This 624-nucleotide ribosomal RNA is filed under the name uncultured Gammaproteobacteria bacterium. Its description in RNAcentral is "bacterial SSU rRNA". It matches the Rfam family "Bacterial small subunit ribosomal RNA", at positions 754 to 1382 of the family's 1533-position model. Lineage: Bacteria; Pseudomonadati; Pseudomonadota; Gammaproteobacteria. The record is from RNAcentral.
CGAAAGCGUGGGUAGCAAACAGGAUUAGAUACCCUGGUAGUCCACGCCGUAAACGAUGAGAACUAGCCGUUGGUCUUUAGAUUCAGUGGCGCAGCUAACGCAUUAAGUUCUCCGCCUGGGGAGUACGGCCGCAAGGCUAAAACUCAAAUGAAUUGACGGGGGCCCGCACAAGCGGUGGAGCAUGUGGUUUAAUUCGAUGCAACGCGAAGAACCUUACCAACCCUUGACAUCCAGUGGAAGUUUUAGAGAUAAAACUGUGCCUUUGGGAACACUGUGACAGGUGUUGCAUGGCUGUCGUCAGCUCGUGUCGUGAGAUGUUGGGUUAAGUCCCGUAACGAGCGCAACCCUUAUCCUUAUUUGCCAGCACUUCGGGUGGGAACUUUAAGGAGACUGCCGUGAAUAACACGGAGGAAGGUGGGGACGACGUCAAGUCAUCAUGGCCCUUACGGGUUGGGCUACACACGUGCUACAAUGGGAGAUACAGACGGUUGCGAAAGCGCGAGCUGGAGCUAAUCCUACAAAGUCUUCCUCAGUCCGGAUUGGAGUCUGCAACUCGACUCCAUGAAGUAGGAAUCGCUAGUAAUCGCGAAUCAGAAUGUCGCGGUGAAUACGUUCUCGGGCCUU